Molecule: unclassified non-coding RNA, 219 nt
Filed under: uncultured bacterium
Lineage: Bacteria
Description: contains 16S-23S intergenic spacer region
Source: RNAcentral
UCCGAGUUGACCCCGGCAGUCUCCUACGAGUCCCCGGCAUUACCCGCUGGCAACAUAGGACGAGGGUUGCGCUCGUUGCGGGACUUAACCCAACAUCUCACGACACGAGCUGACGACAGCCAUGCAGCACCUGUACAGAUUCGCCUUGCGGCACGGGAACUUUCAUUCCCCUUAAUCUGCGUUUCAAGCCCAGGUAAGGUUCUGCGCGUUGCGUCGAAU